UUUUUGCAAAGUUAACAUCACUAAGACACUACCCACUCCCACCACCAACUCCCUGCAAAAAGCAUGCCUACUGCAGCACACCCACUGAUAUACUUCACCCAUCCCCUUCCACUUCUACUCAAUCUCCCACACAAUUUGCCAUAUUUCACUCUCACAAGGAAACCCAACGAACAAGUGCAGAGGCUUUGAGCAUCAUGAGGAUUAGCACUGCUAUUCCGAUUCAGAGAUAACGUUAAACGACAGGCAUUGCCUAUACAGGUUGAGCAGUUGAUGGAAUGGAAUGAUGUUGAGCGGGUGUUCCUUUGACAUUUCAAGAAAUGUAACCUUGAGUAUACAUCUUCAUAUGUAUAUCUCACACGUUUUCCGCUGCAAAACACUUUGAUUAGGAUAACUUUAUGUUAUGAAAUUGUGACACGUGUUAUUGGGUAACCCACCUUAAUCAGUUCUCAUUUAUGUGUAUGUUUUAUAAGUAUCCAAAUAAUCAUAUAUGAUCCUAGCAUUUUAUCUAUGAGUGACAUUUCCAUAUACUUUAAUGUUAAGUAAUUGUCCAUUUCCA
Molecule: long non-coding RNA, 556 nt
Organism: Salvia miltiorrhiza (redroot sage)
Lineage: Eukaryota; Viridiplantae; Streptophyta; Magnoliopsida; Lamiales; Lamiaceae
Exons: 3
Source: RefSeq, a predicted model, not a curated record